GAUGAACGCUGGCGGCGUGCCUAAUACAUGCAAGUCGAGCGAACAGACGAGGAGCUUGCCCCUCUGACGUUAGCGGCGGACGGGUGAGUAACACGUGGAUAACCUACCUAUAAGACUGGGAUAACUUCGGGAAACCGGAGCUAAUACCGGAUAAUAUAUUGAACCGCAUGGUUCAAUAGUGAAAGACGGUUUUGCUGUCACCUAUAGAUGGAUCCGCGCCGCAUUAGCUAGUUGGUAAGGUAACGGCUUACCAAGGCGACGAUGCGUAGCCGACCUGAGAGGGUGAUCGGCCACACUGGAACUGAGACACGGUCCAGACUCCUACGGGAGGCAGCAGUAGGGAAUCUUCCGCAAUGGGCGAAAGCCUGACGGAGCAACGCCGCGUGAGUGAUGAAGGUCUUCGGAUCGUAAAACUCUGUUAUUAGGGAAGAACAAAUGUGUAAGUAACUAUGCACGUCUUGACGGUACCUAAUCAGAAAGCCACGGCUAACUACGUG
RNAcentral lists this ribosomal RNA (497 nucleotides) under uncultured bacterium. RNAcentral describes it as "partial 16S ribosomal RNA". It matches the Rfam family "Bacterial small subunit ribosomal RNA", at positions 28 to 507 of the family's 1533-position model. The record is from RNAcentral.